This 477-nucleotide ribosomal RNA is filed under the name uncultured bacterium. RNAcentral describes it as "partial 16S ribosomal RNA". It matches the Rfam family "Bacterial small subunit ribosomal RNA", at positions 28 to 507 of the family's 1533-position model. The record is from RNAcentral.
GAUUAACGCUGGCGGCGUGCAUAACACAUGCAAGUCGAACGAUGAAACUUAGUAGACUUCUUCGGAAAGACACUAAGCGGAUUAGUGGCGAACGGGUGAGUAACGCGUGAGUAACCUGCCUUACACAAGGGGAUAGCCUUUGGAAACGAAGAAUAAUACCCUAUAAAACCAUAAAAGCACAUGCUAGAAUGGUCAAAGUGAUAGCGGUGUAAGAUGGACUUGCGUCUGAUUAGCUAGUUGGUGAGAUAAAAGCUCACCAAGGCAACGAUCAGUAGCCGGCUUGAGAGAGUGUACGGCCACAUUGGGACUGAGACACGGCCCAGACUCCUACGGGAGGCAGCAGUGGGGAAUUUUGCACAAUGGGGGAAACCCUGAUGCAGCGACGCCGCGUGAUUUAGAAGGCCUUCGGAUUGUAAAAAUCUUUUGUAUAGGAAGAAAAUGACAGUACUAUACGAAUAAGGUCCGGCUAAUUACGUG